Molecule: transfer RNA, 70 nt
Filed under: Peltocephalus dumerilianus (big-headed amazon river turtle)
Lineage: Eukaryota; Metazoa; Chordata; Testudines; Podocnemididae
Description: tRNA-Lys
Source: RNAcentral
CACUAAAGAAGCUUAAUAUACACAGCACUAGACUUUUAAUCUAGAGAAGAGACCAAACACUCCUUAGUGA